Molecule: ribosomal RNA, 210 nt
Filed under: uncultured bacterium
Lineage: Bacteria
Description: partial 16S ribosomal RNA
Rfam family: Bacterial small subunit ribosomal RNA
Source: RNAcentral
UAGUCUCAGUUCGGAUUGGAGUCUGCAACCCGACUCCAUGAAGCUGGAUUCGCUAGUAAUCGCGCAUCAGCCACGGCGCGGUGAAUACGUUCCCGGGCCUUGUACACACCGCCCGUCAAGCCAUGGAAGCCGGGAGUGCCUGAAGUGCGUGAGCGCAAGCAGCGCCCUAAGGUAAAACCGGUGACUGGGGCUAAGUCGUAACAAGGUACC